This 492-nucleotide ribosomal RNA is filed under the name uncultured bacterium. RNAcentral's name for it is "partial 16S ribosomal RNA". It matches the Rfam family "Bacterial small subunit ribosomal RNA", at positions 29 to 507 of the family's 1533-position model. The record is from RNAcentral.
AGUGAACGCUGGCGGUAGGCCUAACACAUGCAAGUCGAACGGCAGCACAGUAAGAGCUUGCCCCCACGGGUGGCGAGUGGCGGACGGGUGAGGAAUACAUCGGAAUCUACUUUUUCGUGGGGGAUAACGUAGGGAAACUUACGCUAAUACCGCAUACGACCUACGGGUGAAAGCAGGGGAUCUUCGGACCUUGCGCGAUUGAAUGAGCCGAUGUCGGAUUAGCUAGUUGGCGGGGUAAAGGCCCACCAAGGCGACGAUCCGUAGCUGGUCUGAGAGGAUGAUCAGCCACACUGGAACUGAGACACGGUCCAGACUCCUACGGGAGGCAGCAGUGGGGAAUAUUGGACAAUGGGCGCAAGCCUGAUCCAGCCAUACCGCGUGGGUGAAGAAGGCCUUCGGGUUGUAAAGCCCUUUUGUUGGGAAAGAAAAGCAGCAGGUUAAUACCCCGCUGUUCUGACGGUACCCAAAGAAUAAGCACCGGCUAACUUCGUG